This is a long non-coding RNA of Sardina pilchardus (European sardine), 420 nucleotides long. RefSeq lists it as uncharacterized. The record is from RefSeq and is a predicted model, not a curated record. Lineage: Eukaryota; Metazoa; Chordata; Actinopteri; Clupeiformes; Clupeidae. The transcript is spliced from 3 exons.
UUCUUUAAGGGAAUCAACUCAAGGCUGAAGGAUGGACUUUGACUUUAGUUCUGAUAAAAAAAAAAGAAAAAUCACAAGUUGCCACGCUAUUCACUCCAGAACACGUUUGGCGGUUGCCUUUGGUGGUUAAAAGAUCUCACGAAGUGGUUCUCUUCAUCUCUAGGCGCUAUUUGUAACAGGUGUCCACCGCCCCUACACCCACCCAUGUGUCCCUGAAGAGUGAUACGUCCAUGGACUGACCAAUCACCUACACAGAACACAACAUCUACUGGACAGAUGGGGGGCACCAGCUCUAACAGCAGGCCUCCCUCCCCUACACCCACCCAUGUGUCCAUGAAGAGUGAUGAGUCCAUGGAUCCACCAAUCACCUUUACAAGACAGUGAGAUCAUGACACACACACUCUCUCUCUCUCUCUCUCU